UGCUGUGAAAGCCCGGGGCUUAACCCCGGGUGUGCAGUGGGUACGGGCAGGCUAGAGUGCAGUAGGGGAGACUGGAAUUCCUGGUGUAGCGGUGAAAUGCGCAGAUAUCAGGAGGAACACCGAUGGCGAAGGCAGGUCUCUGGGCUGUUACUGACGCUGAGGAGCGAAAGCAUGGGGAGCGAACAGGAUUAGAUACCCUGGUAGUCCAUGCCGUAAACGUUGGGCACUAGGUGUGGGGGACAUUCCACGUUUUCCGCGCCGUAGCUAACGCAUUAAGUGCCCCGCCUGGGGAGUACGGCCGCAAGGCUAAAACUCAAAGGAAUUGACGGGGGCCCGCACAAGCGGCGGAGCAUGCGGAUUAAUUCGAUGCAACGCGAAGAACCUUACCAAGGCUUGACAUACACCGGAUGGUUCCAGAGAUGGUUCGUCCCUUCGGGGCUGGUGUACAGGUGGUGCAUGGUUGUCGUCAGCUCGUGUCGUGAGAUGUUGGGUUAAGUCCCGCAACGAGCGCAACCCUCGUUCUAUGUUGCCAGCACGUGAUGGUGGGGACUCAUAGGAGACUGCCGGGGUCAACUCGGAGGAAGGUGGGGAUGACGUCAAAUCAUCAUGCCCCUUAUGUCUUGGGCUUCACGCAUGCUACAAUGGCCGGUACAAUGGGUUGCGAUACUGUGAGGUGGAGCUAAUCCCAAAAAGCCGGUCUCAGUUCGGAUUGGGGUCUGCAACUCGACCCCAUGAAGUCGGAGUCGCUAGUAAUCGCAGAUCAGCAACGCUGCGGUGAAUACGUUCCCGGGCCUUGUACACACCGCCCGUCAAGUCACGAAAGUCGGUAACACCCGAAGCCGAUGGCCUAACCCUUUGUGGGGGGAGU
This 868-nucleotide ribosomal RNA is filed under the name Kocuria sp. RNAcentral describes it as "bacterial SSU rRNA". It matches the Rfam family "Bacterial small subunit ribosomal RNA", at positions 590 to 1453 of the family's 1533-position model. The record is from RNAcentral. Lineage: Bacteria; Bacillati; Actinomycetota; Actinomycetes; Micrococcales; Micrococcaceae.